UGGGGAAUAUUGGGCAAUGGACGAAAGUCUGACCCAGCGACGCCGCGUGAGGGAUGAAGGCCUUCGGGUUGUAAACCUCUUUCAGCAGGGAAGAAGCGAAAGUGACGGUACCUGCAGAAGAAGCACCGGCUAACUAUGUGCCAGCAGCCGCGGUAAUACGGAGGGUGCAAGCGUUGUUCGGAAUUACUGGGCGUAAAGAGUGUCAAGGUGGAUCUGCAAGUCAGAUGUGAAAUCCCCCGGCUUAACUGGGGAGGGUCGUUUGAAACUGCAGAUCUUGAGUGUCGGAGAGGUGAGCGGAAUUCCCAGUGUAGAGGUGAAAUUCGUAGAGAUUGGGAGGAACAUCAGAGGCGAAAGCGGCUCACUGGCCGAUUACUGACACUGCCACACGAAAGCGUGGGGAGCAAACAGG
RNAcentral lists this ribosomal RNA (409 nucleotides) under uncultured bacterium. RNAcentral's name for it is "bacterial SSU rRNA". It matches the Rfam family "Bacterial small subunit ribosomal RNA", at positions 355 to 776 of the family's 1533-position model. The record is from RNAcentral.